AGUCAGCCGCGGUAAUUCCAGCUCCAAUAGCGUAUAUUAAAGUUGUUGCAGUUAAAAAGCUCGUAGUUGAACCUCGGGGUCUACCCACUGGUCAGGCUUAAUUGUCUGCACUGGUGAGAUGGAUCUCUACCUUCUGAGGAACUUUCAUGCCAUUUAUUGGUGUGAUGGGAAAUCAGGACUGUU
Molecule: unclassified non-coding RNA, 183 nt
Filed under: uncultured Glomus
Lineage: Eukaryota; Fungi; Glomeromycota; Glomeromycetes; Glomerales; Glomeraceae
Description: sequence contains 18S rRNA gene
Rfam family: Eukaryotic small subunit ribosomal RNA
Source: RNAcentral